Molecule: unclassified non-coding RNA, 300 nt
Filed under: Powellomyces sp.
Lineage: Eukaryota; Fungi; Chytridiomycota; Chytridiomycetes; Spizellomycetales; Powellomycetaceae
Description: partial contains small subunit ribosomal RNA and internal transcribed spacer 1
Rfam family: Eukaryotic small subunit ribosomal RNA (bases 1-46)
Source: RNAcentral
AAGUCGUAACAAGGUAACCGUAGGUGAACCUGCGGUUGGAUCAUUACAAAAAAUAUAUACCUUAAAGAGGUGGGGAUUCAUUUCCUCUCGCUUUAUUGUAUCCACAUUAUUCGAAUCAGGAGCGCAAGCAAUUGAGGAGAAAAAUAAAAACAUAUUGUGAAACGUUUCUGUCUCUGGCGAGCGGGCAGUCUAAACAACUGCUUGUCAGCAGGGUCCCUUUCUGGGGGAUGCUGCCGUGGACAACUCGUCAACCCCUUCUAUUUUAACAUUUGCUGUACCUAAUUUGUCUGACAUAACCUG